Molecule: ribosomal RNA, 769 nt
Filed under: bacterium
Lineage: Bacteria
Description: bacterial SSU rRNA
Rfam family: Bacterial small subunit ribosomal RNA
Source: RNAcentral
CGAACGAUGAUCCGGUGCUUGCAUCGGGGAUUAGUGGCGAACGGGUGAGUAACACGUGAGUAACCUGCCCUUGACUCUGGGAUAAGCCUGGGAAACUGGGUCUAAUACCGGAUAUGACUCCUCAUCGCAUGGUGGGGGGUGGAAAGCUUUUGUGGUUUUGGAUGGACUCGCGGCCUAUCAGCUUGUUGGUGAGGUAAUGGCUCACCAAGGCGACGACGGGUAGCCGGCCUGAGAGGGUGACCGGCCACACUGGGACUGAGACACGGCCCAGACUCCUACGGGAGGCAGCAGUGGGGAAUAUUGCACAAUGGGCGCAAGCCUGAUGCAGCGACGCCGCGUGAGGGAUGACGGCCUUCGGGUUGUAAACCUCUUUCAGUAGGGAAGAAGCGAAAGUGACGGUACCUGCAGAAGAAGCGCCGGCUAACUACGUGCCAGCAGCCGCGGUAAUACGUAGGGCGCAAGCGUUAUCCGGAAUUAUUGGGCGUAAAGAGCUCGUAGGCGGUUUGUCGCGUCUGCCGUGAAAGUCCGGGGCUCAACUCCGGAUCUGCGGUGGGUACGGGCAGGCUAGAGUGAUGUAGGGGAGACUGGAAUUCCUGGUGUAGCGGUGAAAUGCGCAGAUAUCAGGAGGAACACCGAUGGCGAAGGCAGGUCUCUGGGCAUUAACUGACGCUGAGGAGCGAAAGCAUGGGGAGCGAACAGGAUUAGAUACCCUGGUAGUCCAUGCCGUAAACGUUGGGCACUAGGUGUGGGGGACAUUCCACGUUUUCCG